RNAcentral lists this ribosomal RNA (453 nucleotides) under uncultured bacterium. Its description in RNAcentral is "bacterial SSU rRNA". It matches the Rfam family "Bacterial small subunit ribosomal RNA", at positions 29 to 528 of the family's 1533-position model. The record is from RNAcentral.
AACGAACGCUGGCGGCAGGCUUAACACAUGCAAGUCGAGCGCCCCGCAAGGGGAGCGGCAGACGGGUGAGUAACGCGUGGGAAUCUACCCAGCUCUACGGAAUAACUCAGGGAAACUUGUGCUAAUACCGUAUACGUCCGAUAGGAGAAAGAUUUAUCGGAGUUGGAUGAGCCCGCGUUGGAUUAGCUAGUUGGUGGGGUAAUGGCCUACCAAGGCGACGAUCCAUAGCUGGUCUGAGAGGAUGAUCAGCCACACUGGGACCGAGACACGGCCCAGACUCCUACGGGAGGCAGCAGUGGGGAAUAUUGGACAAUGGGCGCAAGCCUGAUCCAGCCAUGCCGCGUGAGUGAUGAAGGCCCUAGGGUUGUAAAGCUCUUUCACCGGUGAAGAUAAUGACGGUACCCGGAGAAGAAGCCCCGGCUAACUUCGUGCCAGCAGCCCGCGGUAAUACGA